This 5679-nucleotide long non-coding RNA is filed under the name Salvia miltiorrhiza (redroot sage). RNAcentral's name for it is "long non-coding RNA (SMIL_LNC006957)". The record is from RNAcentral. Lineage: Eukaryota; Viridiplantae; Streptophyta; Magnoliopsida; Lamiales; Lamiaceae.
AGGUUUCCAAGGAAAGAUGGGACGGGGCCGGUGAGAAGAUUCUGUCUGAGAUCGAGAAAGUUAAGCUGCGAGAGUUUGGAAAUGGCUUGUGGGAUUUUGCCGGUGGCGUUGCAGGCGUGGAUGGUUAGGUCUUGGAGGUAGGGGAGGUCGCCAAUGGCGGCCGGAAUAGGGAGAUGGAGAUCGGUUUGGGCGAGGACAAAUUCGGUAAUUCGGUUGGUUUUGUCGUCGCAUUUCACCACGUACCAGUGGUCGCAGCAGUCGGUUUUGGGAUCCCAAGAGAUGAGGAAGUAAGGGUCGUUGAGGUCUUUCUUGAUCUGAAGGAGGGUAUUCUUGUCAUUUGGGUGGCACCUCUCUGUGAAUGAGACCGAGAGAAAGGAAAUAGAAAUGAGGAAGAGGAGAGGAAGAUGGGAAGAAGCCAUGGAUUGGAAUUUGAAUUUUGGAUAAUGGUAAUAGUGUGACAACUAUCCGAAAAAUGCCCCAAUUUAUAUUUGUCAAACCUAUUAUAAAACGAAGGGAAAACUUGUAUACGGCCAAUAUAAAAACAGUACCAAUCAUGGACCUUUAAAUAAAGUAUAAAUAAAUCAUGUAGCCCUUUACAUAUUUCUUUUUAAGUUUAUUCUUUUUGGCAUUAUAUUUAUGCAGUAUAGAACUUCGUUAACGGAAUUUUGGUUCAAGAUUGAAUUUUUAUUCCAUAACAAUAAUAAUAGGCAACAUCACACAUUACAUAUCAAAUCUUAAACAACAUUAAAAUUUGACACCAAUCAUUUGCAGUUGGGCAAAGGUUUACCACACAAGCACUUGUUGUGAAAGAAGACGGUGGAAUCGAGUUCCUGCAGACUGCCGCCGACCGGAAUCUGGCCACAGAGCCUGUUGUAGCUCACAUUCAGAUUAAUAUAAUCAAACUUUGUCAACCCCGCCGGUAAGCUCCCGAAAAUCUGGUUAUGGCUCAAAUCCAAGUUAUGCAUGGUGUCCGAAAACUCAACCUUGGAGAAAUCGAACUUAAACAAGUUCCUCGAGAAGUCGGCGGUGUUCAAAAUCUUCUUUUUCCCGAACAUGAAGGAUAUGUCCCCUUCCAGCUUGUUUCUAGAAACAUCAAACAAGUUGAAGUCCGCACGUCCCAAACUCGCCGGAAUGGGGCCGGAGAGCUGAUUACGGGACAGGUAGAAAUAGAUUUGCUUCGCCUUCAAGUCCCCGAACGAUUCAGGAAUGCCGCCGGUGAGGUUGUUCCGGUCUAACAGCAGGCCGCUGAGCUUCGGCAGCUGAGAGAGCGACGGAGGAAUCGAACCGGUGAGGCCGUUGCGCGACAGUCCGAUGUAGGUGAGCUUUUUGAGGCUUCCAAGGAAAGUGGGACGGGGCCGGUGAGAAGUUCUGCCUGAGAUCGAGGAAGUCGAGCUGCGAGAGCUUGGAAAUGGCUUGUGGGAUAACGCCGGUGGCGUUGCAGUUGUGGAUGGCGAGGUUUUGGAGGUAGGGGAGGUCGCCGACGGCGGCCGGGAUGGGGAGGUGGAGGUUGGCCUUGGAGAGGUCAAAUUGGGUAAUGCGGUUGGUUUUGUCAUCGCAUUUCACGCCGUACCAGUCUUCGCAGCAGUCCGUUUUGGAACUCCAGGUGAUGAUGUCAUACGGGUUUUUCAGGUCUUUCUUGAUUUGGAGGAGGGCUUUUUUGUCAUUUGCGUUGCACCUCUCCGAGAGUGUGAGAGACGAGAGGGAGAGAAUGAGGAGAGCCAAAAUGGGAAGAAUACAAGUCAUUGGUUUGUCCAAUUAUGGAUAUUGGGAUAGAGAUGUGCGAUCUGUUGGGGCUGCUUUAUAAGGAAAUGUGAGGCUCGUUCUUAUUACCCAACUUCGGAUUGCAAUGGUCGGCCAAUUCAAAUUCUAGCUUAAUCUUUGAAUAUGACUGUAAAUGAGUCGAGCCGAAUACUAAUAGGCUGGAGCUCGAUUCUUUUAAAUAUUUGAGUGUUUGAGUUUGACUAGAGCUCGAUUCUAGCUUCGAUUUUGUUAAGUGAACUCGGCUUGUCACCCAGCUACCGAACUUCUAUCUAAAUAAAUUUCUCAUAAUAAUUCAAAUCCCUUAUCUAUUAGUUAGAAGAAAUGUGUCAUAUCGACUAAGCUACAAGGUAUUUAAUAUAAGAAGAGUGUAAAAUCCAUAAUAAAAACCAAAAAUCGAAAACUAAUUGUUGGAGGAUAGUGUCUUAUCAAGUGUGAAGUAGUAUUUGAUUUAUGAAGAGUUUAAAUUUGAGAGUAAGAAAUCCAUAAUAAAAACUAAAAAUCUUAAACUAAUUUUAUGAGCCUUCAAAUUACAUAUUGUGAGAUCAUCAAAUAUACAUUAGCCGCCUAUAUAUGGCGUAGUGAAGUACAGAUUGUGAAUUGGGAGCAGCACUUGAAAAAUAUAAUUACCCAAGUUGUUGCUACUAAUGAGAGUCGCAGCACUUUGGAUGAAAGGACUCAUUAUUGUAUCCACAACUUUGGAUAAUAUACGUUUCAUCCAAUAUUGAAUCAUGAAAUGUGGGGCAUUCGUCCCAAAAGUAGAGCAUGCUCUUGUCGGAGCUAUUUGUCUCAUCAUAUGAUCACUUUCCUAUCCAAGGAUAAAUUAAUUACACAUUUUCGUAUUUAAUAGCUCUAACUAGCUAAUCAUUUUACUUAAUAAUAAAUAACUUCAACAAAUUUUUAUGAAUAAAUUAUUUUAUUUUUUAUGAAAUAUAAUAAGAAUUAAAUAGAAAAAGAAAAGAAAAUAAAAUAUAAAACAUCAAAGUUAAAACUAAAUAAGAAAUUAAAAUUUGAACACCUCCAUCGGUGAUGUCGGAUCAGCUCGUCUGUUAGCAUCAGAGGGUGGCAAUGGGAAUUGGGAUAAGAGAGUCUUUUUUUCCCUUGUUAAUCUUUUUAUUUAGUUUUUUUUUGUUGGAAUUAAACAUUUUAUAAAAAUAUAUUUAGGAUUUCACAUUUUAAAUUAUUUUAAUAUUUGUCUCUUUUCAUUAAUGUGGUAAUAAUAAUACAUCACUACAUCAGAAAUUGAAAAAUAAAAAUAUUGUCGCGUUUGGUGUGGUUUAAGAGACAGAUGAGAUAUAUGUCACGUUUAUUUCAUUAAAGGUUCAGAUGGACGUCACAAUUCAAAUAUCACCGAGCAAUAACCUUGUCAGCCUUGCUUGCAUUUUCUUUCAUAUUUUAAAUUUUUUUCAAGCUAUAUAUCACGUUUUAUUUUAUUUAACUACAUCGUGUCAUUUAUGUUCUUGUUAAUUAUUACAUCCAUCUCAAUUCAAUAGAUCACAUUUUUUUCAUUUGAAUAUUUGAACGUUUCAUUUUAACAAAUGACUCUUAAUUAACAAGAACAUAAAUGAUAAGGGCUCUUAAUUAUAUUCUCUCUCCUACUUUAUUACUUUAAUUAUAUUAUUUCUCAUACUUUAUCACUUUUAUACUACACAUUUAAAACACUAAUCUACAACUCCUUAAUUUUCUUGUCAAAAAGAAAUGACUCAAGAUUCGUGGGACGGAGGGAGUAUAUUUUAAAACAAUAAUGCUACUUUAUAUCGUAUUUUAUUAUAAACUAUUUAUUUUUAACAUUUGUGCCUUGAACUUAUGAUCCGUUAAAUUGAGAGUCUUAGUUGAGAUUUCUUUGAUUUUUUUUUUUUUUGGAUAAAUCUAUAGUAUUAAAUUAGAAUGGAUAAAAUAUAAUAUAUGAAAUCACACUUGCAGCAGUUAUUUUUGUCCAAAUUCUUCUUCUCUCCUUCAUAUUUUCUCUGUUAUUUCUCUAUCUUACACGCUUUCUUACUUGAUGUAUGUAACAUGCUAACUUUUUUUCAUCUCUCUUAUUUUCUUUUCUCCUUUCCCUGUUCUAAAUCUUUUUUAAAAAAAACUAAUAAAUUAAUACUACUACAUUUCUACUUUUAUUUAUAAUAGUAGGAUCCACAAAAUCUACCAACAAUAAUAAUGAUAUCCAAACUCUACUCACUACUAUCAAAUAUUAUCCACUAUUUUUAAAAAUUCGUGUCAUCCACAGGGUGGAGACGAUAUCGUGGACGGAUGGAGUAUGAAAUUGAAAUGAAAAAAAAUUAUAUCUUUCAUAUUUUCUCCGUCAAUUACUCUUAUCUUAGACGCUUUCUUACUUCAUGUAUGUGACAUGGUAACAUUUUUUCAUCAAAGUUUUAAGUAACCGAUAAAUUAACAAUAAAUUUAAAGAUGGCUUUGAUCAAAACAUUAAUCACUUGACUCGUAAAAAAGUUCGGAUUUUUUGAAAGUGGGAUCACCCUGGUCCCUGGAUAUCUCUAACCACCGAAAAUUCAACAUAUCGCUGGCCCUUUAUCAAAUAUCCAAAAUACAAAGUUAAUUUCAUUAAGAAUACAACAUAUUCCAAGAAUUGAGCAAUUUGUACUACAUCAUAUCUUAUUCGAUUAAUAACAUAUGUAAGCAUAAACAAUAAUAUAGUACUCCCUCCGUCCCUAAAAUAACUUCCUCUUUUUCCAUUUUGGGACGUCCCCCAAAUAACUUCCUCUUUCUUUCUUUCCAUUUUUGGAAACCUACCCCACCACUAAUAAUACUUUAUUUAUUCUUACUUUUCACUUUUCACCACUCCCAAUACUAUAACACUUCUCACAACUUCCAAUAAUAAUUAUAUCACUUUUUCUCCACUAUCAAUACACUUUACAACUUUUUAUUAAAACCCGUGCCGUCCCCAAAGAGGAAGCCAUUUCAGGAACGGAGGGAGUAUUAAAUUAGAGAAAAAUCAUUUGCAUUCUGGCAAAGGACUACCGCACAAACACCUGUUGUGAAAAUAGGCCGUAUAAUCGAAGUCCUGCAGCCUGCCGCCGACGGGAAUCCGACCACACAGCCUGUUGUAACUCACAUUCAGCGAAAUCCUAUCAAACUCAGCCAAACCCACGGGCAAGCUCCCAAAAAUCUUGUUAUGGUUCAAAUCCAAGUUCUGCAAAUUCCCCGGAAACUCCACCUUGGAAAAAUCGAACUGCAACAAGUUCCUCGAAAAGUCAGCAGUGUUCAAACUCUUGUUUUUCCCGAACAUGAAGGAUAUGUCUCCUUCCAGCUUGUUUCUAGAAACAUCGAGCAAACUGAAGUUGGUAUAUCCCAAGCUUCUCGGAAUCGGGCCGGAUAGCUGAUUGUGCGACAUGUACAGAUAGAAAUCCUGCACCUUAAAAUAUCCGAACGAUUCAGGAAUGCCGCCGGUGAGGUUGUUCCGGUCCAACAGCAGGCCGCCGAGCUCCGGCAGCUGAGAGAGCGACGGCGGAAUCGAACCGGUCAGGCUGUUGCGCGAGAGUCCGAUGUAUGUGAGUUUUUUGAGGUUUCCGAGGAAAGAUGGGACGGGGCCGGUGAGAAGAUUCUGUCUGAGAUCGAGGAAGUUGAGGUGCGAGAGUUUGGAGAAGGCUUGUGGGAUUUGGCCGGUGGCGUUGCAGUUGUGGAUGGCUAGGUCUUGGAGGUAGGGGAGUUCGCCGAUGGCGGCCGGAAUCGGGAGGUGGAGGUUGGCCUGUGCGAGGACAAAUUCGAUGAUUCGGUUGGUCUUGUCGUCGCACUUGACGCCAUACCAGUGUCGGCAGCAGUCUGUUUUGGGAUUCCAAUUGGUGAUGUCGAGGUCUUUCUUGAUUUGGAGGAGGGCUUUUUUGUCAUUUGGGUGGCACUUCUCAGAGACUGUCUCUGAGAGGGAGGCCAAGCCCAAGAGGAGGAGAGAGAGAAUAGAGAGAUGGG